UGCGUCGGCAGCGGCCAUAGAGUUGUAGACGCCGACGCUCGAAAGACGCUAGAUGUGGGGGGGCCCUUAGAUAUAGGUUCUUUAAUAGGUACCUUCUAAUAGCCAAAUAGAAUAACGCCUGCAUUGAUUGUUUGGAUAUUAACUGUGCUCUUAAAACGUUUGUACAAAAAUAAAUUCCUAGAUAUUUUUAUCUUACCUAUCUUAUUUCAGAGUCACUAUCUAUCUCUUUUAAAUUUAAAAUUGUUAAUUCUGUGUUCAUUACAUGCACGUUUGCUAUUAUACUCUAUUUUAGGCGUUAUUUACUAAUUUCAAAACAAGUGGAGAUUAUUUAUUUAUAAUGAAUACAGGAUUUAUGCAACUUUCCCCUUUACACUGUUUGGCAUCAUUGUUUAGCUGUCUACAAAGUUUAUCUGGUUAACUGUUAAAAGAUAUUUUAUUGCAUAUUCAAUGUCAGUAGCUCUAAUGGUAUCUACGAACAAUGUUCCCGUUUAGUCAACAUAAGAGUAAGGUAGGAUAUGAAUGACUGAUCUGAUUAUUUUAGAACGGCUGGCAGGUUUUGUACUACGACAGAUUGAUAUAGCUACUUGUCAUAUUAAUUUUAUAUGUAAUACACAUUCACAUAAUUAUAUGUACGUUUAUAUAAAAUAUACACCUACAUUUUGUUAUCUGUGACGACUGAGUAAGUUGUUGGUUUCACGGUACUUAAGUUACAGAACGUGCUUGCCGGUCUAGUAAUGACGAUUACGAGAAGCUGAAGACGAACUGCUAAUAAUAUACAGUAAAUCAAAGUAAAUUGCGUUUUCAAUGUGCACCUACAUAUUUUAUAAACAUGUGCUUGAUUUUCCAAAAUUAUAUUACAGCUUUUUGAGGUUAUUUGUAGUUACUGCUUUUAGGUCAAGGCAUGUAUACUGUAUAGGUAGGACCCUAUAAGUAGGAACACCUUUAUACACGGUGUAAGAUGAGGAAACCGAAUAGUUUUAACAGCGUAUUCCUGAUCAUAUUUAGAGACAAAAAUGUCCUAUAAACUUUUUUUAAAUUCGCCUAGUUACAGAGAUAAUAUUAAUUAAAAAAUAAUCAAGUAUUUCUUGUUACAUAAUGUAAAAUGCCUUUUUGAUGGUAAUAUUGCUGCUAUGGGACGUAUACUAAAUAUCCUUAUUGAUAGAUAUCAAAAAGUUACAAGUAACACUUUUCAAAAAGUGGGUUUUACGAAAAAAAAUGUUAAAAUCAAGUUACAAGUUUCCCAAUGACAUUUAUUUUUUUAUGUACAAAAACAUUUAAAAAAAAAUGAAACAAACAAUUUUUUUUUAGACGAAAUUGACUUAAACUCAUAUUACUAUUUUUCCUCUUCUUUUGACCUCAGAAAUGCGUGGUUAAAAUUAUUCGGUUUCCUCAUGUUACACCGUGUAUUGUAGAGAAUUGCAAUAAUACAUAAUGAGAGAUUUUUAUAGGGUAACUUACCCACUAAUCCGCACUAAAAAUUCCAGCCGCAGCCAUCUAUUUUUGCUGGAAAGUGAUAAUACAAAAGUAAUGCAUAAUCUUUUACCAUCUUAUUUUCACGGAAACGCACGAACGCGUUACGCCAUUUCAGUAAGUCUCAGUACCUACAAAAAGUGCUGAGGUUGACUGAAGUAGCAUGGCAAAUACGAACAUUUCCUAGAAAAUAUGGCAAAGAAUUAUGCACUACAUCUUUAUUUAACAAAUUGUCACUAAUUGGUGGAAUAACGGCAAUGAGAAGUUUACCCUAAUAUCAGUUAUAUAUUUUAUUGGUUGUCCUUUAUGACCCUGCCUACGAAGCUGGAGGUCCCGGGUUUAAAUCCCGGUAAGUUUUGUGUUCAUCACAAAUAUUUGUAGUUGAGUUGUGGAUUUUUCUAUUAUAUUAGGGAUCUAUAUUAUUGUCUAGUACCCACAACAAAAGCCUUAUUCAGCUUUGUGUAAGAUGAUCCCAUAAUAUUUAUUUAUUGACCUUUCCUGUAUAUAAAUUUCUAUCCAAGAAUGUACAUUGAAUAUGACCACAUAUUUUAACCUUUUCACCGCCAUUGUCUUGAUAUAAAGUCAGUAUAUUUUGUGCUCCACACGCCAUGACUUGAUAUAUUGUUAUACGGGUUGUGUACGUACAAUUUUUGACAUGGCGUUGAUGACAUAAUGACACUUUAUUGCUUAAUUGACGUAGCGGCUUAGAGCAACACCGGCUUCCGACACGUCGGAACGUCGAAGGCAAUUUACUAAUAGUGUAGUAACUAAAUAAAGGUAGUGGACCCUGCAGUAAUUCCUCAGCCAGAAAAAACUUUACAGUAUGAUAAAGUAUCAAUAAAUAAAAAGUAUUGUAUAAAUAUCCAAAGAAUAAUAAUAAUAGUAAAUAGUAUUUAAGUAAAUACCUAAAGUCUUAAAUCGUUAAUAUCUUUUUACGGAAAAAUGCUCCGUUCAAACUUUCGUCUCCACCGGAAAUAUUCAUGUAACGUAUUGCAACAAUAUAUGACAUAACAAUAAAAAAAACCCAGCAGAAAUACCAAUAACUUAUUUGGUAAAAAAAAAUCGGACGGAGGAAUUACUCGGUUAAAUAAAUAAACAGAUUUGUAUGUUUACGUAUAAAUACCUAACUUAGGAGUGUUUUUAGGGUUCCGUACCUCAAAACGAAAAAAAAGAACCCUUAUAGGAUCACUCGUGCGUCUGUCUGUCUGUUUGUCACAGCCUAUUUUCUCGGAAACUACUGGACCACUUAAGUUGAAAUUUGGUACACAUAGGUAAAUUAGUAACCCAAAGAUGGACAUAUUUUUUGUAUAAUUUUAAAAUACAUAGUUUCGAAGUUAUUUAAGAAAAUACAAAUAGCCGAAAAAUGACCAUGCCCCCUGUAUCUCCGAAACUACUGGGUCUAAAAUUUUGAAAAAAGUACACAAAAUAGUUCUUUACCUAUAGAUGACAGGAAAACCUAUUAGAAAUGUGCAGUCAAGCGUGAGUCGGAAUUAUGUACGGAACCCUAGAAACGCGAGUCAGACUCGCACUUGGCCGGUUUUUUUUUUGGAUAUUUAUAAUGUUAGUUUCGGCUCAUACUAUACAAUAACCAAGCAAAAUUUCAUCGACUGAGGAAUUAAUGCAUGGGUCUCCAUACAACAACUUGCUUCGUUUACUACACUAUAAAGAAAACAUAUACCUAAUUGUUAAAUACCGAAAACGAUUUUUUAUAAAAAUAAUUUUGUGUGUGUUUUUUGCAAUUCUUACAUAAGGUCAGCGUCAGUGAUUUUAAUCGUAUACCUCUUCUUCAGUGGUCCAGUGCAGUGGAGGCGGUGUCAGGCCUACAAGUCUACUUUUGUUUUCAAUGCCUUUACCUACAGUAUUAGAUAUAUAUUUUAAAAUAAACAUUGUUCAAAACCUGUCUUAUAAUUUACUGUAACUAAACAAAUAAUUACUUAUAUAACUGCAUAAAAUUCAUGUUUUUAUGAAAAAGUAAAGAGAAUCCACGACAAUUUUCAAAACGCCUGUUAAAAAAUGGUUUCGGCAUUGAAAACAAAUGAAUAUCGUUGAAACAAUGAAUAUAUUUUGUGAUAUAUAUUGCUAUAAUUCUAUUUUUGAUAAUGCCUAUGAUGGAUAUUGCUGAACUAAUAGGGAAUGGUAGCUGAAUUUAAAUAAUACCUAUCUCUUAUAAAGCUUCUCUAUAUAUAAUGUAGCGUUCAGGAUGUCAAUUGCUAAUUCAAGCUCGUUCAUCAAAUAUAUUAUAACUUUCAACUAAGAUUAUAAUCAUUAUUUUAGCUGAAAUACAAAUGUUGUGUAACCCCACCUAUUUUUUAUAAGCAUUAAUGGUUCCGUUAUUUUUAUUUUGUAAAAAUAUGACGUUCUCAAGUCGACGCUUUUACUGAUUAUGAAAUAUAAUUAUUACUUAUUAAUUGUAAAUAUUUGGUAUCUUACAUAAUAUACUAUUUACCUGUAAAUCUAUCUAUAAAAUAACAAAUGUUCAAAAUUAAAUUCGGUUGCUGAACGAUUGAUAGUUUGUCCUUAUUAGUUUAUUAUUAUAUUUAAAACUUAAUCAUCAGUGAUUGCAUAACCUUCAAAUAGGUACCGUCAACCGGGGUGAAUAGGGAUGGCUGAGGUGAAUAUAGACAAAACUUAAAAUGUGAUUUACUCAUAAUUUAUUGAAAAAUAUCUACACAAAUUGUAUCAUACAAAAUCUACUAUUAUGUUUAGUCAAAUGAUACAAUUAGUGUGGGUAUUUUUUUUAUUGUUAGGUAAUCACAUUUUAAGUUCUGUUCCUAUGAACCCAAGACAUCCCUAUUCACCCCGUUUUACGGUAUAUUUAGUUUUCGCUUUAUCUUUAAUUACAAAUCAACGUAACUCUACAAAGAACGGCUACAAAAAUAUAUUUUGCAACGUUAUAAUAAAAAUUAUUAAAAUUUCCACUCUGCAAGGUCCCAUUGUGAUAGAUAUAGCUAGUGCCAAUCGGUUAUUUAAAUAUUACAAGUGAAGAGCAAUUUUAGAGCAUCGUAGAUAUUAUUUAAGCUCAGUCAUCCUUUAUGGGAUUGGAAUAAAAAAACUUAAUUUUUAACGUCUUUCGGUAUUUAAGGUUAUACAUUUUAAGAUCGUGUUAUAAGAGUUACUAAUUCAUGUCAUAGCUUAGUCGUUAUCAAUUGAACAUUAUAUAUUCCAAUCGCAGAAAGGACUACAAAAUGCGUAAUUUUGUCGAACGAAUAAUAAUAUAAAAUUUAUAAACAUAGAGUGCUGUAAAUAAAAUUCUUAAAAUAUUCAUGUAUAAACAAUAUUAUAAUUUCCUGUUUUAGGUACAUUUUAUAAAAUGUAUUUAUUUAAUGUGAAUACUAUUUAGAACAAGGGAAAGUUAUUGUCUUCACUACUUACGAGUCUAUAAUAGUGUGAAAUAAAUUAUUGAAUUAUUAGACUUAUUAGAGUAUCAAUAAAUUAUUGCGAAA
Long non-coding RNA from Cydia fagiglandana, 4913 nucleotides. RefSeq lists it as uncharacterized. The transcript has 2 exons. The record is from RefSeq and is a predicted model, not a curated record. NCBI's taxonomy places the organism in Eukaryota, Metazoa, Arthropoda, Insecta, Lepidoptera, Tortricidae.